CGACAGCUCCUCUGACUCACGUUGCGGUUGGAUGUUUUACUUCAGUUAACCUGUAGAGAAGACAACGGUGAUCAUAAUGGUGGAAAAAUUACAUGAAACGGGAAUCAGGAAGGGCCUCAUCGGAGACAUUUUGUGAAAUUUUCUGCCGUGGCGUCGCCGGUCUUCGCCGGUAUUUUCUGACCAAUUGGUUGAUCUUUUUGCUCGAAUUUUUCCAUGGAUGAGCUUAAAAUUGAAUUUCGUGCAAAAAAAAAGUUUUUACCUUUUUUAGUGGUCAGAAAGGGUUCCGGUGCAGCGACGAGUGGCAGCGAUCGGCUUCCCGACAGUUGGGUUGUCUUCCCCGGCGAGGGGGUCUGGCAGUUAGGGUUAGGGUUGGUGCGGAUGGGUGUUAUUUAUAUCCAUCCACUUUUGAUCUGGGCCGUCCAUCGCGUUUGAUCUGGACCGUUCAAUCGCGAUUAAAU
This 458-nucleotide long non-coding RNA is filed under the name Carica papaya (papaya). Its description in RNAcentral is "long non-coding RNA (CPAP_LNC003965)". Lineage: Eukaryota; Viridiplantae; Streptophyta; Magnoliopsida; Brassicales; Caricaceae. The record is from RNAcentral.